This is a long non-coding RNA of Bubalus bubalis (water buffalo), 1171 nucleotides long. RefSeq lists it as uncharacterized. The record is from RefSeq and is a predicted model, not a curated record. Lineage: Eukaryota; Metazoa; Chordata; Mammalia; Artiodactyla; Bovidae. The transcript has 3 exons.
UCGAUGGACGUGGGUUUGAGUGAACUCCAGGAGUUGGUGAUGGACAGGGAGGCCUGGUGUGCUGCGAUUCAUGGGGUCGCAAAGAGUUGGACACGACUGAGCGACUGAACUGAACUGAAACAAUAACUAUAAUUAUCUUCAAAGCAAUAACUAUUUUAAUCACUUAUUUUAAAUUUUUUAAACUGGGAUAAGAAAGACUGGGAGCUGUAAACUCUUAAAUAAUAAUGGUUUCAAAUAGUAGUCUUUGCCAGGUUCUUUAGAAUGUGCACUGCCGCUUGCCCCCCAAAAAAGUUUUGGGCGUUUUGUUUUGGUUUAGUGUAUUAGGUUAGUGUAUGGGAGGUCUAAAAGCAAACGGUAAAUUCUAGAGAAAAAUUUUCCAACUGUAGAUACUUUUUUAAAGUGCUGCUCUCCGAUUUAAAAGAAGAAUUAAUUUUUUUUUUUUAUAUAACCCAUUAAUGACUAUUCCAAUUAUAUUCAUGUUGCUGUCACCUAGCGGCGAGUUUGUGGUUGGGAGACAGAGAAGGGUGCAGGACCACUCCGUUUAUCCAGAGUGCACUCCUGCCCCCUGGUGGUGACAUUUAUUGUGCCUGCCCUUAGCCCAUGAAAAAGCGUUUUACCAAAGGGGCAUUUUACAGGUGGCAGCCUGACUUUGCCUCUGCAGUUACAAUCAGUGUGACGGGACGGCCGACAGCUCCUGUCUUCCGUCUUACAACUACCAUCGCAUCUUACAAGAAAAGAAAUACGACUGACCUUAAGUCAUCCCGACAUCUGAAGGCAGAGCUGCGACCCUCGGCAUGAAGUCCUGAUCCACUCACUGUACGUGAUUACGCUAAAGCUAAAGGCUGCUGGAAAAAUUCAGGACCAAACUGGGCCUCUCUCCUUAAAAAGUAUGAGGACUUCCUCAUGCGCUUUUCCUGUCCCUUUCGUGGCUCCAUUUCAUUGUCCAUCCUGUGCUUCAGCUUCCUCACUGCCUCAAAUCUAAGUUAUUCAGAAAGAUUCCCAGUGGAUACCCAAGGACAUCAGUAUCUCGUGCUACCCACACACCUGAAACUUUCCUCCUGGCCAUCAUUGGAACUGAUAUAAAUCAAUGGAUACAAUCAUACAUCCUACAUUUCAUAAUUUCAGAACCCUUCUACUUCCAGAGUCUCAUUCAUCUCAAUGAUAAUCUUGU